UGGCUCGGAUCCUGCGUUGCUGUGGCUCUGGCAUAGGCCGGUGGCUACAGCUCCAAUUCGACCCCUAGCCUGGGAACCUCCAUAUGCCGUGGGAGCGGCCCAGGAAAUAGCAAAUAGACAAAAAAAAAAAAAAAAAAAAAAAAAAACCCCUCUCUGGAGGAGUCAACAUUCCAGCAAGAGGAGGCAGAUGAUAAACAACACACGUCCUAAGAAAAUUCUUUCCUCUUUUAGAAAGUGGUGUGGCCCUAAGAAGAUAAAAGAAAAAGAAAGUGGAAAUGCUCAGCAAUGCCUUGGACGCCAGGAUGAAUUUAGGAAGAGGUCAGCUCAAAAGAGGCACAGGAGGAGGAACAAGGGGGAAGAGUGUCCAGAGAAAAAGAGGAGCCACCCCUGAGGAAGAGCCACCCCUUGCAGAGGGCCCCUCUGGGCCAGCAAGCGACUGGGAGAUUGGAGAACACAGAAAUUCAUCAAACCAAGUGUAUUCAGAAGGGCCUACCACCAACACGUGUACCCACAGGAGGUCAUACCGAGAGUCAAACAAGCCUUGUUCUCCGCAGGCAGGUGGACUCUGGCUAAGGGCAGCCCCGUGGGACCUUGCUGCCGCCCCGCGCUCCCCCAUCCCUCCGCCACCAGUGCCUCACACGCUGCUCGACCCCAUCCUCAGC
RNAcentral lists this long non-coding RNA (662 nucleotides) under Sus scrofa (pig). RNAcentral describes it as "lncRNA (ENSSSCG00070019176.1)". The record is from RNAcentral. Lineage: Eukaryota; Metazoa; Chordata; Mammalia; Artiodactyla; Suidae.